This 497-nucleotide ribosomal RNA is filed under the name uncultured bacterium. RNAcentral describes it as "partial 16S ribosomal RNA". It matches the Rfam family "Bacterial small subunit ribosomal RNA", at positions 28 to 507 of the family's 1533-position model. The record is from RNAcentral.
GAUGAACGCUGGCGGCGUGCCUAAUACAUGCAAGUCGAGCGAACAGACGAGGAGCUUGCUCCUCUGACGUUAGCGGCGGACGGGUGAGUAACACGUGGAUAACCUACCUAUAAGACUGGGAUAACUUCGGGAAACCGGAGCUAAUACCGGAUCAUAUAUUGAACCGCAUGGUUCAAUAGUGAAAGACGGUUUUGCUGUCACUUAUAGAUGGAUCCGCGCCGCAUUAGCUAGUUGGUAAGGUAACGGCUUACCAAGGCAACGAUGCGUAGCCGACCUGAGAGGGUGAUCGGCCACACUGGAACUGAGACACGGUCCAGACUCCUACGGGAGGCAGCAGUAGGGAAUCUUCCGCAAUGGGCGAAAGCCUGACGGAGCAACGCCGCGUGAGUGAUGAAGGCCUUCGGAUCGUAAAACUCUGUUAUUAGGGAAGAACAAAUGUGUAAGUAACUAUGCACGUCUUGACGGUACCUAAUCAGAAAGCCACGGCUAACUACGUG